UAGGGAAUAUUAGUAAUGGGCGCAAGCCUGAACUAGCAACACCGCGUGUGCGAAGAAGGCCUUCGGGUUGUAAAGCACUUUUCGGGAGGAUGAGGAAGGACGGUACUCCCGGAAUAAGUCUCGGCUAACUACGUGCCAGCAGCCGCGGUAAAACGUAGGAGGCAAACGUUAUCCGGAUUUACUGGGCGUAAAGCGCGUGUAGGUGGUUUGGUAAGUAGGGCGUGAAAGCUCCUGGCUCAACUGGGAGAGGUCGUUCUAAACUGCCGAGCUAGAGGAUGGUAGAGGGAGGUGGAAUUCCGUGUGUAGCGGUGGAAUGCGCAGAUAUCCGGGGGAACACCAGUGGCGAAAGCGGCCUCCUGGACCACUCCUGACACUCAGACGCGAAAGCUAGGGUAGCAAACGG
Molecule: ribosomal RNA, 403 nt
Filed under: uncultured bacterium
Lineage: Bacteria
Description: bacterial SSU rRNA
Rfam family: Bacterial small subunit ribosomal RNA
Source: RNAcentral